This 912-nucleotide small RNA is filed under the name Pan troglodytes (chimpanzee). RNAcentral's name for it is "retained intron". Lineage: Eukaryota; Metazoa; Chordata; Mammalia; Primates; Hominidae. The record is from RNAcentral.
GCGCAAGGUGCGGGCCCCGCUCGCGGACGCUCGGGGGAGGGAAGCGAAUGGGCUCGGCGAGGGAAAGGACGCCCUGGGCCUUAUCAGAGCCCCCUUGGACCCGCAGGUGGCCGAGGGGCAGGAAUUGAAGGACAAGAGUCGCCUGCGCUAUCCUAUUAACGGCGCAGGUAGCCCCAGUUUCGGCCCUGGCACCUGGGGGGAACUCAGGUGAGAGGUGUCCUGGGGUGGAGAUGGAGGCAGAUUGGGGCGUCUGCCUGUACAUUCACUCUCCAAUGUUCUCCAGGCAAUCCGAUUUACGACUUUUUUCUGGGACGAGAGCUCAACCCUCGUAUCUGUUUCUUCGACUUCAAAUAUUUCUGUGAACUGCGACCCGGCCUCAUCGGCUGGGUCCUCAUCAACCUGGCCCUGUUGAUGAAGGAGGCAGAGCUUCAGGGCAGUCCCUCACUGGCCAUGUGGCUGGUCAAUGGCUUCCAGUUGCUCUACGUGGGUGAUGCCCUCUGGCACGAGGUGAGGCUGGACUGGACGAGGGUGGGUGUCUGAGGGCUGCAUAGGGACUAAGCCAGUGUGUCUGGGUCUUGUCCCUGCAGGAGGCCAUCCUCACCACCAUGGAUAUCACACAUGACGGGUUUGGCUUCAUGCUGGCGUUUGGGGACAUAGCCUGGGUGCCCUUCACCUACAGUCUGCAGGCCCAGUUCCUGCUGCACCACCCGCAGCCCCUGGGGUUGCCCAUGGCCUCUGUCAUCUGCCUCAUCAAUGCUAUUGGUUACUACAUCUUCCGUGGGGCGAAUUCCCAGAAAAACACUUUCCGAAAGAAUCCUUCUGACCCCAGAGUGGCUGGGCUUGAGACCAUCUCUACAGCCACAGGGCGGAAACUGCUGGUGUCUGGGUGGUGGGGUAUGGUCCGCCAUCCCA